RNAcentral lists this transfer RNA (58 nucleotides) under Platynereis massiliensis. RNAcentral describes it as "tRNA-Ser". The record is from RNAcentral. Lineage: Eukaryota; Metazoa; Annelida; Polychaeta; Phyllodocida; Nereididae.
GCAACAUAUAUAAAUGAUUUUGAAAGUCAUUACAGGUAAUUAAACCUACCAUGUUGUU